This 325-nucleotide unclassified non-coding RNA is filed under the name Athalia rosae (coleseed sawfly). Its description in RNAcentral is "misc RNA ENSAEAG00005003764.1". Lineage: Eukaryota; Metazoa; Arthropoda; Insecta; Hymenoptera; Athaliidae. The record is from RNAcentral.
CAGAAAUCCGAAAGACGCAUGCGUUUCCUUCUAUUAUUACUGCAAACUUCUUCAUGGCUUGAAAGGAACUUUUGAAGAAUUUGCCGAACUUUUUCUGCAGGGCAUGGGUAAAAAUAGUUUGAUCCAAUUGUGUAAUAUUAUAAUUUUGUACUUGUUGCAUUCUUCAUUUAUGUUUCAGUACCCAUGGGAUCGUUUUGGAAUCACGUGUUGAAAUUUUGGGAGCAUAGAAAUGAUGAAAAUAUACUCUUUCUCACAUACGAAGAGAUGCAGAAGGAUCAGGCUGGAGCGAUAAGGAAGACGGCAAAAUUCUUAAACAAAGUCGUAA